CAUGCCCAUGCAAAUGUCAAGUGGGGUAGGGUAACCCUCUUUCAUAGUUGUUUGCUGUAGAGUUUCUAGGAUUAGACAAUCAGCCUCAGCUACCCCACUAAGUGUUGCUCUCACUUGUCUGAGAGGAAGAAGACUCAAAACUUUGGAUUUAUUUUUACGUGUGACGUUCUAGUUUGGUACACCAGAAACAAAGGUAGACUUCUACUGC
This 208-nucleotide long non-coding RNA is filed under the name Elaeis guineensis (African oil palm). RNAcentral describes it as "long non-coding RNA (EGUI_LNC040925)". The record is from RNAcentral. Lineage: Eukaryota; Viridiplantae; Streptophyta; Magnoliopsida; Arecales; Arecaceae.